This 89-nucleotide non-coding RNA is filed under the name uncultured Eubacterium sp. RNAcentral describes it as "Cyclic di-GMP-I riboswitch". It matches the Rfam family "c-di-GMP-I riboswitch aptamer". From Rfam's summary of the family: GEMM was predicted in a large-scale screen for bacterial structured RNA regulatory elements. Genes associated with GEMM are involved in a diverse array of functions, including chemotaxis regulation, signal transduction, secretion and chitin. Lineage: Bacteria; Bacillati; Bacillota; Clostridia; Eubacteriales; Eubacteriaceae. The record is from RNAcentral.
UGAAAAAGGCAAACCGGCCGUGAGACCGGGACGCAAAACUAGAGGGUCUUGUUUAAGAAUAUUCAAAAUAGCAAGACAGCCAGCUGCCA